This 198-nucleotide long non-coding RNA is filed under the name Serinus canaria (Common canary). RNAcentral's name for it is "lncRNA (ENSSCAG00000004611.1)". The record is from RNAcentral. Lineage: Eukaryota; Metazoa; Chordata; Aves; Passeriformes; Fringillidae.
GAGGCAGCAGGAAGGCGCACAGAGUCUGUCUGAGCAACACCGGGAUGGAGGAGCCCGCUGGGAACCUUCCCAUCCGGAGAGACGUCAUCCUUCCCGAGUCGUGCUGUGGUCACGUCACCAUAACAAACCUGCACUAAGCUCGCUGGGCAUUUGGGAAAGUGUAUUUAGAGUUGUUCCUGGGCCUACAUCCAAGACCUC